Molecule: ribosomal RNA, 732 nt
Filed under: Staurolithium sp. JD-2011
Lineage: Eukaryota; Acantharea; Holacanthida; Acanthochiasmidae
Description: eukaryotic LSU rRNA
Rfam family: Eukaryotic large subunit ribosomal RNA
Source: RNAcentral
AAAAUAACCAUGAUUCCCUUAGUAGUGGCGAAUGAACCGGGAUCAGUUCAAGCCUUUAAUCCUACACUUUUGUGUCAGGAGUUGUGGUCUACCACGGAGAUACCUGGGUCGUCUUCCCGACUAGAUCUUGUUGAAAUAUAGUGUCAUAGAGGGUUAUAACCCCGUCCGUUGGGAAAGUGUACCUACCUGGUAUUUUCGAUAGUGAGUCGUGUUACUUGGGACUGUAGCAUUAAUCGGGUGGUAAUAUCCAUCUAAAACUAAAUAUUUCUCUGAGACCGAUAGCGAACAAGUACCGUGAGGGAAAGAUGAAAAGGAAUUUGAAAAGAUUGUGAAAAGUACGUGAAAUCGUUAGGUGAAAGCGAAUAGCAUACCACUAAACGUGCACUUUACUAUUGUUAAAGGGCCUGUUUCAAGCUUGCUUGUACAGGUUCUACGCAAUAGUUUUGUGGAGGUCUGACUGUUCUUUCUCGUUUGUAAUUGUGUUCCGAAUUUCUUGUAUGUUCGCAAAAUGUGACGUGCUUGAUUUUUUGUUCCUGUUGCUUUCGUUUGAACGUCUUGACGUUUUUUUUUGGUGUUGUUAUCCGACCCGUCUUGAAACACGGACCAAGGAGUCUAACGUAUGUGCGAGUAUUUGGGUGACAAACCCGUUUGCGUAGAGAAAUCGAUUGACUGAUAACACUCGUGUUCCUCAGCAGCUGAAACUGAUUCUAUGGAUGAUGGCUACUCGCUUGA